Molecule: ribosomal RNA, 252 nt
Filed under: uncultured bacterium
Lineage: Bacteria
Description: partial 16S ribosomal RNA
Rfam family: Bacterial small subunit ribosomal RNA
Source: RNAcentral
UACGUAGGUGGCAAGCGUUGCCCGGAUUUACUGGGCGUAAAGGAUGCGUAGGUGGAUAUGCAAGUCAGAUGUGAAAUACCCGGGCUUAACUCGGGUGCUGCAUUUGAAACUAUAUAUCUAGAGUGCAGGAGAGGUAAGUGGAAUUCCUAGUGUAGCGGUGAAAUGCGUAGAGAUUAGGAAGAACACCAGUGGCGAAGGCGACUUACUGGACUGUAACUGACACUGAGGCAUGAAAGCGUGGGGAGCAAACAG